RNAcentral lists this ribosomal RNA (254 nucleotides) under uncultured bacterium. RNAcentral describes it as "partial 16S ribosomal RNA". It matches the Rfam family "Bacterial small subunit ribosomal RNA", at positions 524 to 776 of the family's 1533-position model. The record is from RNAcentral.
UACGUAGGGUGCGAGCGUUAAUCGGAAUUACUGGGCGUAAAGCGUGCGCAGGCGGUUGGCCGUGUCUUGUGUGAAAGCCCCCGGGCUUAACCUGGGAACUGCAUGGGAAACUGGCUGGCUUGAGUGUGGCAGAGGGGGGUGGAAUUCCGCGUGUAGCAGUGAAAUGCGUAGAUAUGCGGAGGAACACCGAUGGCGAAGGCAGCUGCCUGGCCUAGAACUGACGCUGAGGUGCGAAAGCGUGGGGAGCGAACAGG